This 700-nucleotide ribosomal RNA is filed under the name Pseudomonas sp. I11B-02611. Its description in RNAcentral is "bacterial SSU rRNA". It matches the Rfam family "Bacterial small subunit ribosomal RNA", at positions 92 to 788 of the family's 1533-position model. The record is from RNAcentral. Lineage: Bacteria; Pseudomonadati; Pseudomonadota; Gammaproteobacteria; Pseudomonadales; Pseudomonadaceae.
UCUGCGGCGGACGGGUGAGUAAUGCCUAGGAAUCUGCCUAGUAGUGGGGGACAACGUUUCGAAAGGAACGCUAAUACCGCAUACGUCCUACGGGAGAAAGUGGGGGAUCUUCGGACCUCACGCUAUUAGAUGAGCCUAGGUCGGAUUAGCUAGUUGGUAGGGUAAAGGCCUACCAAGGCGACGAUCCGUAACUGGUCUGAGAGGAUGAUCAGUCACACUGGAACUGAGACACGGUCCAGACUCCUACGGGAGGCAGCAGUGGGGAAUAUUGGACAAUGGGCGAAAGCCUGAUCCAGCCAUGCCGCGUGUGUGAAGAAGGCCCUCGGGUCGUAAAGCACUUUAAGUUGGGAGGAAGGGCUCGUAGCGAAUACCUGUGAGUUUUGACGUUACCAACAGAAUAAGCACCGGCUAACUUCGUGCCAGCAGCCGCGGUAAUACGAAGGGUGCAAGCGUUAAUCGGAAUUACUGGGCGUAAAGCGCGCGUAGGUGGCUUGAUAAGUUGGAUGUGAAAUCCCCGGGCUCAACCUGGGAACUGCAUCCAAAACUGUCUGGCUAGAGUGCGGUAGAGGGUAGUGGAAUUUCCAGUGUAGCGGUGAAAUGCGUAGAUAUUGGAAGGAACACCAGUGGCGAAGGCGACUACCUGGACUGACACUGACACUGAGGUGCGAAAGCGUGGGGAGCAAACAGGAUUAGAUACCCU